Molecule: ribosomal RNA, 497 nt
Filed under: uncultured bacterium
Lineage: Bacteria
Description: partial 16S ribosomal RNA
Rfam family: Bacterial small subunit ribosomal RNA
Source: RNAcentral
GAUGAACGCUGGCGGCGUGCCUAAUACAUGCAAGUCGAGCGAACAGACGAGGAGCUUGCUCCUCUGACGUUAGCGGCGGACGGGUGAGUAACACGUGGAUAACCUACCUAUAAGACUGGGAUAACUUCGGGAAACCGGAGCUAAUACCGGAUAAUAUAUUGAACCGCAUGGUUCAAUAGUUAAAGACGGUUUUGCUGUCACUUAUAGAUGGAUCCGCGCCGCAUUAGCGAGUUGGUAAGGUAACGGCUUACCAAGGCAACGAGGCUUAGCCGACCUGAGGGGGUGAGGGGCCACACUGGAACGGAGACACGGCCCAGACUCCUACGGGAGGCAGCAGGGGGGAAUAUUCGACAAUGGGCGAAAGCCGGAUGCAGCAAGGCCGCGUGAUUGAAGAAGGUCUUCGGAUCUUAAAACUCUUUUAUGGGGAAAGAAAAAAUGUAAAGGAAAAUCUCGCGGUUCUGACGGUACCCAAAAAAAAAGCACCGGCUAACUACGGG